GAUGAAGAACGCAGCGAAAUGCGAUAAUUAAUGUGAAUUGCAGAAUUCCGUGAAUCAUCGAGUCUUUGAACGCACAUUGCGCCUCAUGGCAUUCCGUGAGGCAUGCCCAUCUCAGCGUUAGAAAAUAUUCUCAAAUUUUAGUUUUGUGCUAAAAUUUGGAUCAUGUCAAAGAAGCUAUUACUAUUAUUGUGAUCGCUCUUUGGAAAUUGAUAGGUCUUUGAGUUGCUACUCAUAGAACGUGAUGAAUCUUUCUUCGUUCUAUUGUAAUUCACUCUGGUAGUCCUAAAACUUGUAUGCCUGUGUCAUAUCUUGUAAUUUGACCUGAGAUUGGGUAGGGAUACCCGCUGAACUUAAGCAUAUCAAUAAGCGGAGGA
This 374-nucleotide unclassified non-coding RNA is filed under the name soil metagenome. RNAcentral's name for it is "partial contains internal transcribed spacer 2 and large subunit ribosomal RNA". The stretch from base 1 to 120 matches the Rfam family "5.8S ribosomal RNA", at positions 35 to 154 of the family's 154-position model. The record is from RNAcentral.